UAAGGUGUCAUGAAAGAAUAAUCAUGUUACCCUGAGAGGAAGCUGACUUUGUCUUUGCAAAUACAGUCUGGCAGAAAAGAAAAGUUUCCAAAGGGGAAGAAAGACCAUAAAAUGCUCUCUGAAUCCAUAAGGACAACCCCAUUGGCACAGAUGGGAAUUUUACUCUGAAGUGACAGCACUGCUUUCCUGAAACAUGACCUAACGACUACAAAGAGUUUCUUUGGAAGCACCAAAUUUUGUCAUUGACCCCUCUUUACCAUAUCACGCUCUCCUGAACCACUCCAUAGCAAUGUUCCUGGGAAGUUAAAGAUGGCUCAGAAGAAAAACUGUCAUCUUUAACAAAGAAAGAACUGUGUCAUGGCAUCUUGUUACAAUGUUUCAGUUAUUUUGAAAAGCUUUGAUUUGUUGGAGGAAAGGCAAGAAAGUCUAUAAGGCCCCUCCAGCAAAGACACAAUGCAGAUAAGAUCCACCAUCAGAGCAGGUCUGAAGAAGCAACAGAGACCAAAUAUUCAUCUGUAGGCAGCACAUACGAAUGCUCGGGUGCAAACAGCCCGAUGCUAUUUAAAUGGAUGGAUUCUCAUGUGAAUUUACCAUUCACUCUCCUCUAGGGAUGUGAGGACAACGGGAG
This 628-nucleotide long non-coding RNA is filed under the name Equus caballus (horse). Its description in RNAcentral is "lncRNA (ENSECAG00000055256.1)". The record is from RNAcentral. Lineage: Eukaryota; Metazoa; Chordata; Mammalia; Perissodactyla; Equidae.